This 1239-nucleotide ribosomal RNA is filed under the name metagenome. Its description in RNAcentral is "bacterial SSU rRNA". It matches the Rfam family "Bacterial small subunit ribosomal RNA", at positions 8 to 1238 of the family's 1533-position model. The record is from RNAcentral.
AGAGUUUGAUCCUGGCUCAGGAUGAACGCUAGCUACAGGCUUAACACAUGCAAGUCGAGGGGAAACGAUAUUGGAAGCUUGCUUCCGAUAGGCGUCGACCGGCGCACGGGUGAGUAACGCGUAUCCAACCUGCCCACCACUUGGGGAUAACCUUGCGAAAGUAAGACUAAUACCCAAUGAUAUCUCUAGAAGACAUCUGAAAGAGAUUAAAGGUUUAUCGGUGAUGGAUGGGGAUGCGUCUGAUUAGCUUGUUGGCGGGGUAACGGCCCACCAAGGCAACGAUCAGUAGGGGUUCUGAGGGGAAGGUCCCCCACAUUGGAACUGAGACACGGUCCAAACUCCUACGGGAGGCAGCAGUGAGGAAUAUUGGUCAAUGGACGAGAGUCUGAACCAGCCAAGUAGCGUGCAGGAAGACGGCCCUAUGGGUUGUAAACUGCUUUUAUAAGGGAAUAAAGUGAGAGUCGUGACUCUUUUUGCAUGUACCUUAUGAAUAAGGACCGGCUAAUUCCGUGCCAGCAGCCGCGGUAAUACGGAAGGUCCGGGCGUUAUCCGGAUUUAUUGGGUUUAAAGGGAGCGUAGGCCGGAGAUUAAGCGUGUUGUGAAAUGUAGACGCUCAACGUCUGCACUGCAGCGCGAACUGGUUUCCUUGAGUACGCACAAAGUGGGCGGAAUUCGUGGUGUAGCGGUGAAAUGCUUAGAUAUCACGAAGAACUCCGAUUGCGAAGGCAGCUCACUGGAGCGCAACUGACGCUGAAGCUCGAAAGUGCGGGUAUCGAACAGGAUUAGAUACCCUGGUAGUCCGCACGGUAAACGAUGGAUGCCCGCUGUUGGUCUGAAUAGGUCAGCGGCCAAGCGAAAGCAUUAAGCAUCCCACCUGGGGAGUACGCCGGCAACGGUGAAACUCAAAGGAAUUGACGGGGGCCCGCACAAGCGGAGGAACAUGUGGUUUAAUUCGAUGAUACGCGAGGAACCUUACCCGGGCUUGAAUUGCAGAGGAAGGAUUUGGAGACAAUGACGCCCUUCGGGGCCUCUGUGAAGGUGCUGCAUGGUUGUCGUCAGCUCGUGCCGUGAGGUGUCGGCUUAAGUGCCAUAACGAGCGCAACCCCUCUCCUUAGUUGCCAUCAGGUUAAGCUGGGCACUCUGGGGACACUGCCACCGUAAGGUGUGAGGAAGGUGGGGAUGACGUCAAAUCAGCACGGCCCUUACGUCCGGGGCUACACACGUGUUACAAUGGCAGGU